AAACACCUGUCUUGUUAUCUGAUAUUGAUUUAAUCAAUUAUUCUAAAAUCGCGAAUGCUUUUUGAAUUCUAUAGUUUAAAACUCGUGUCUUUGAAAACGAUAAUUAUUUUAAAAUUUGUUUUCUCCUAAACUAGCAAUUUAAAAUAUGGAAGUAAAAGCCCAAUUAAAAAUUUAAACCAACUUAAAGGCCUUAUUACAAAAAAAAAAAACCCCAAC
Molecule: long non-coding RNA, 216 nt
Filed under: Gossypium raimondii (Peruvian cotton)
Lineage: Eukaryota; Viridiplantae; Streptophyta; Magnoliopsida; Malvales; Malvaceae
Description: long non-coding RNA (GRAI_LNC004515)
Source: RNAcentral